Molecule: non-coding RNA, 1406 nt
Organism: Corylus avellana
Lineage: Eukaryota; Viridiplantae; Streptophyta; Magnoliopsida; Fagales; Betulaceae
Source: RefSeq, a predicted model, not a curated record
AAUCCCUCUCUCUCCUCCACAUUCAAAAUCUAGGGCUUUUUGAUUUAUGUGUAUUGGGUGCUAGAAUAGUAUAUUAGAUUUAUGUGUAUUUAGGGUUUAGAUUUCUGUUUUUUUAAUAUUAUUGGGUAUGGACUUUUACUUCUUUUUUCGUUGGUUGGGGCUGUGUUUGUUCAUGCCCGAGAAAGAUAGUUUUUGGUCAGAUUUCUCAUUUGCAUUAUCUGUGAGUUUGAAUACUUUCUAAUUUUGCUCCUUUAAUUGCUGACUAGACAUGGUUGAUUCGAAUUGCAUUAGAUUUAUGCUAGAAUGUAUUUCUCUGCUAUACACAAUUUAUGCAUUACCCAGAUCUCUGCUGAUGACCAGGCCACAGCCAGGCCAAGAGGUCAUGUGUAGUAGCUAGGAUGGAUAAAUUGAGCAGGUGUUGCCAUGUUCCUGGUUGGCCUGGCUGUGGCCUGGUCAUCAGCUCUCUAAGAUGCUGUGCAACGAUGGUUGCCAUGUUCUUGGUCUGGCUGUGGCAGAGUUGUUUGUUGAUGUUGUUGGUGUUGGUGUUGGUGUCCUCGAUGAUCAGUGUCUCUCAUGCUUGCUCACCUGAAAUGCAAUGACAUAAUCUCAUGCUUGUUCAGCUGUUAACGAAAUUUGUUGCCUAGAGAUGGAAAAAAAACCUUCAUUGAUUUGGUAAUUUCUCUCUGAUAUGUUUUUUUUUCCUUUGUAAUUUCUCUUUGAUGUCUUUGGUGGAUAUUCAAACUUGACUUGCUGAAAUCAGUUUGGGAUCUUCUGAUAAACCCAUAUGGACUGCUUCUAGGAAAGGAGUAAAUGUUAGUUAUGAUACUUGGGAGGCUCUUAGGGAAAAGAGAGUUCAAGUUGAGUGGUGGAAGUUAGUAUGGUUUUCUCUAGCUAUUCCAGGGUUUGCUCUUUUUGUUCUUUAGUUGCUUUCCCUCUUUGAGGUCUCUCUCUCUCAGAUGGUGAAACUCACCGGCGUCGGUUGACUGGGUUCGGAAACGAAGGUGGGUUUGGGUCCGACGGAGGUUUUGCUGGUUUGCAGUUUGCUGGAGGUAGAAGAGAUGGAUACAAUCUGGAGGUAGAAGAAAUGGAAGUAUUGACACACCGUGGUAAUUGGAGAGGCAACCCAAAGCAAUAGCAAAGGAGAAGACAAUUUUCUAUUACACUAUGUACCUAAUUGUCCUUUACCUUCCUUGUUUGUAUUUUUAGGUUAUUCCUUCAUUCUAACAGGAAAAUUUUAUAUUCAAAGGAGUGAUUCUUUUCCAUGUUGAAACUUGUAACAUGUAGAUGUAGUUCUCAUAUAAAGAUGUUAAUUGGAUAUUUUGAUGCAACACGUUGAUAUUUGUUCCUUGGUGCAUUGAAGUACAAUGUCUUUUGGGGAUAUAGUAAUUUUGACUUUUUUGCAUCUU